GGCAGCUGCAGUAUGCUCAUCUCUGGGCUUUGGUUUCCUCAACCAUGAAGGGCAGGUGAUAACAGCACCCUAUUUGACAGAUGUGCUGAGGAGGAGACGAGGUGAUCUGAGAUGAGGGGUGUAACCAGUUUCCUUCCCCUAUGAGCUGGUUCGCACAGGAGGCCACCCUGAUGGAAGAACACACGCUCAGCUUCCCAGGAUCCGUAAAGAAAAAAGAGCGGGAAGAAUAACUGGAAGGGACCUUGCAAGUCACCUAUUAAAGGUGGAGGAGCCACAUGUGGAAGGAGCCGAGGUCCCCAAAUGACCACAAGGAAGGCUACCUGCCAACCGUGAACAUCCACAAUUGGUUUUUACUA
Orcinus orca (killer whale) is the source of this 356-nucleotide long non-coding RNA. RefSeq lists it as uncharacterized. The record is from RefSeq and is a predicted model, not a curated record. The transcript has 3 exons. Lineage: Eukaryota; Metazoa; Chordata; Mammalia; Artiodactyla; Delphinidae.